Long non-coding RNA from Paramisgurnus dabryanus, 1316 nucleotides. RefSeq lists it as uncharacterized. NCBI's taxonomy places the organism in Eukaryota, Metazoa, Chordata, Actinopteri, Cypriniformes, Cobitidae. The record is from RefSeq and is a predicted model, not a curated record.
UCCGGCCGCAUAGACGAUGAGCAGCUGAGGCAGUGACUGAAGGCGACGUGUUAAGCUUAAAAAGCUCACUCGAGCGCCUUUAUGUUUCUUUCGUACCAAUUUUAAGCCAACUGAGGAACACCCUUAUCCCAAGUAAUGGUUCGACUACGAUGUUCCGGUAACUUUAAACCACGCCUGGUGUUGAAAAGGUGGCCAGUUUCAGAUGCAUUGAUGUUUAGUGAUGCAGUGGACAACUGUGAGGAUGAUACAAUCAACGUGUUCCUAAACUGUGAUGCUGAAACACAAUGGGAGGAUCAAUCCGUCUCUGAACACAACUACACUUUAAAGUCGCCAUGAAACGGAAGUAGCGAUUGCCUUAUUUUCCCCGUGGUGACGUAUAUCCGAAUGAAACGGCUUUUGAGAUGAAAUAAGGCAGGGCUGGAUUUGAAUUUGUCCAUCGAGAUCUGAUUGGAUCGUUUGAAGUUGGGUCGUGUUGCUAAUUGCUAAUCACUGCGAUCUUCUCCCGGACCCCGCCCACCUGCCAUACUUUUGACCGGAAGUGAAGAGAGAUCGUUUUGAGGAGGGGAGGAGAUUUGCAUUUUUGAUUAAAGAUUAUGAGCACACACGAAUUUUUAAAAAAUAAUGAAGCUCACAGAUAAGUCAUUUGUUAAUAAUACCACACUAUUAAAAAUACAUAUAUAGUUUUUCAUUUCAAUUUCAUUGCGACUUUAAAAUCACAACUCAACCUGAAGCAACAUACAUCUGAUAUGGGAAAACAACCUUGCAGUUUCCCUGACAGGGCUUAUGCUAGUCCCAGGCUAAAAUGCUUAUUUGAGCUACGAUAAUUUAAAUGCACCUUGUACUGACAUACCUCAACAUAUAUGAGUGUCAUUGUUUUGUCACAAGAUGCGCACCAGUCUUGUUUUUUUGUAGGAUUUGUUUGUAAAAACUAAAAUGUCCUAAUAUAAUUAAGGCCUAGUCCUGUAAACCCUGUCCGAGAAACUGCUUCAAUGUGUUGAGCUGGCACAAAUGUACAUAACUCUACUGAGAAACAACCAUCUUUGGUUCAGCUUUACACAGGGUUGAUAUUGCAUCCAUUACACAGUCGCCAAGCACUUUACCAGUACAUACACCAACAGCUUCCAGAUAUACGCUUGGGAUCAGCUCCUGAUGAAUCCGAUAAAGCUGUGUCUUAAUUUAUUGCAGGGUGGUCUUGCUUUACCUGUUGUAAAGUUACAUUAAACCUUCAUAUGUGAUCAGAUGUCAUGCAGUGAUAUUAAACAUUUACAGUGUGAUCAGAUGUUGUGCAUUUAUAUUAAACCUUUACAAUGUGAUCA